UGGGGAAUAUUGCACAAUGGGCGCAAGCCUGAUGCAGCCAUGCCGCGUGUGUGAAGAAGGCCUUCGGGUUGUAAAGCACUUUCAGCGAGGAGGAAGGUGGUGAGCUUAAUACGCUCAUCAAUUGACGUUACUCGCAGAAGAAGCACCGGCUAACUCCGUGCCAGCAGCCGCGGUAAUACGGAGGGUGCAAGCGUUAAUCGGAAUUACUGGGCGUAAAGCGCACGCAGGCGGUUUGUUAAGUCAGAUGUGAAAUCCCCGGGCUCAACCUGGGAACUGCAUUUGAAACUGGCAAGCUAGAGUCUCGUAGAGGGGGGUAGAAUUCCAGGUGUAGCGGUGAAAUGCGUAGAGAUCUGGAGGAAUACCGGUGGCGAAGGCGGCCCCCUGGACGAAGACUGACGCUCAGGUGCGAAA
RNAcentral lists this ribosomal RNA (411 nucleotides) under uncultured bacterium. RNAcentral describes it as "partial 16S ribosomal RNA". It matches the Rfam family "Bacterial small subunit ribosomal RNA", at positions 355 to 758 of the family's 1533-position model. The record is from RNAcentral.